RNAcentral lists this ribosomal RNA (412 nucleotides) under Podarcis tauricus tauricus. RNAcentral's name for it is "partial 16S ribosomal RNA". It matches the Rfam family "Bacterial large subunit ribosomal RNA", at positions 2011 to 2620 of the family's 2925-position model. The record is from RNAcentral. Lineage: Eukaryota; Metazoa; Chordata; Lepidosauria; Squamata; Lacertidae.
CAAAGCUGUCUCUUACGGCCUAGCCAAUGAAAUUGAUCCUCCAGUACAAAAGCUGGAAUAAACUCAUAAGACGAGAAGACCCUGUGGAGCUUUAAAACCAAGAUCAUUAAACUAUGCUCCUUGGAUUUUUAGUUGGGGCGACUUUGGAGCAAAAAAAACCCUCCAAAACAUAAAUUUAAUUAUUUAGACCAACACACCAAGAAAAUUAUAUUAGACCCAGCAGUAUUUUUUUACUGUCUGACCAAUGAACCAAGUUACCCCAGGGAUAACAGCGCUAUCCUCUUCUAGAGUCCCUAUCGACAAGAGGGUUUACGACCUCGAUGUUGGAUCAGGACACCCCUAUAGUGCAGCCGCUAUAAAAGGUUCGUUUGUUCAACGAUUAAAGUCCUACGUGAUCUGAGUUCAGACCGGA